Long non-coding RNA from Orcinus orca (killer whale), 436 nucleotides. RefSeq lists it as uncharacterized. NCBI's taxonomy places the organism in Eukaryota, Metazoa, Chordata, Mammalia, Artiodactyla, Delphinidae. The transcript is spliced from 4 exons. The record is from RefSeq and is a predicted model, not a curated record.
GAGAAACACAGUCCACAGACAGAGUGUGGGCCAUCUCAGAAGGCAAGAGGCCCUGAAAUAUGGCAUGUUUUUCUGUACCUGGAACUCAGUUAAAGGACAAAUCUAGAAUUUAGAAGACUGAAUAGAGACCUCUGGAGAGAUUGAGAAAUUUCUCUCCCAGAGGACAAAGUAAAUGAAUAUAGAUAUCAAACACCUGCCAUCAUCAACAGCAAAUACAUAUUCUUGUCAAGUGUGCCCUGGGUUCUGAGGGUUUAGAAGUCCUAUUUCUCCAAGGUAUACAACAGGUUCACCAUGGACACAGCAAGAGCUUUAUUGAAUUAUAAGCUGUGUCAUCUGCCUGGAACUUUGGGCUUCCCCUGUUCAGGGGCUAGCAGAUGAGAAGAUUCAUCACAGGGGCAAUCGACUUGCUUUAUCAGAAGCCUCUAGAAAUUGCAGC